AAAGUUGGAAAUUAACUGUGGUAAGUAAGGGCAUUUUAUAGAUCUUUAAUUGGAGGAUUAAAAUGAAACCAAUGCAUCAUAAAGUGGGUGGUCAGAUUAUUUAAAAAAGCAUUUCAGAGACAGUCAGAAGUGAACCUGAAGUUGAGAGUUUCAUGUGUUUAUAUGCUAUUCAUGCCAGAUGUGUAAUGAUAACUAUACUACAUAACAUACUAGAAAAUAAUGUCAGUAACAUUAACUUAAAAUAUAGUAUAUAUUCAGAUAUUUGUUGAAUAACUCAGUGAACUAUUUUUAAGACUCAAGAAAUUUUUUCUCCCCAACAGGUUACCACUAAUGUCACCUGGGGCAUUCAGCCAGCACCCAUGCCUGUACCUGUGUGGGUGAUCAUUUUAGCAGUUCUAGCAGGAUUGUUGUUACUGGCUGUUUUAGUUUUCGUAAUGUACAGGAUGGGCUUUUUUAAGCGUGUACGGCCACCUCAAGAAGAACAAGAAAGGGAACAGCUUCAGCCUCAUGAAAAUGGUGAAGGAAACUCAGAAACUUAACUGUAAUUUUUAAGUCACGCUACAUCCUGAUCCAUUAGAAGUUCCAACUUCAGUUUAGAUUUUAAUUUCCUUCCUGGGGAAUAAAAUUCCAAGACUGUACUGCUGAUGGUGCCCAUUGGUAUUAACCACAAAGUGAGAACAAUAUUUAUCAUCCUUUUCAUUAUAAUUAAUUUCAGACAUACAUUUAAUACACCUACUGACUUGUGUUUUUAGGUAUUUAAAUAACAUUUCAAGUGAUAGGUCUUCUUCAAUGUACAUAAGAUAGCACCUGAAUUACCACUUUAUCUAAAAUAGUACCUCCUACAAUUACUGUUUCUGAUUUUGUAUGUUGGAUUUUGUUUGUCGUCGUUUUUGUUGUUUUAAAGCAAUCCAAAUUUGGACCUUAGGAUCCACAUCUUUUGUGCAGAUACAUAAUAUUAAUACACGUUACACUACACUUGAGUUUUCAAGCUAACUUCAUAGCUGUAUAAACUUGGAUUUUAAUAUUACCUAUAUGGUAGGACUUUAAAAAAAAAAGAAGAAAAGCAUGAUCCCAUCAAAACUCUUUCUUGUAACUGCAAAGGUACAGAUUUUUGUUUUAAUGUGAAAAUUGAGUACAUGCUAUUAAACUUUUAUUUAUAUUUUUAUCCACAGUCCAUUUGAUGACAUUUUAUUUUGUAUACGUUUAAAUUCUAUUUCAAAUUCUUUAAGUCACCUUAUACUAAAAGAUUAGUUUUUCCUGGUAACUCAGCAGUAAAGAAUCUACCUGCAAUGCAGGAGAUGCGGGUUCCAUCCCUGAGUCAAGAAGACUACCUGGAUAAGGGCAUGGCAACCCACUCCAGUAUUGGAGUUCUCUUGCCUGGAAAAUUCCAUGGAUAGAGGAGCCUGGCAGGCUUUGGUCCAUGGUGUUGCAAAGAGUUGGACUUGACUGAGCAACUAAUACACACAUAAGUUAUAUUUCAAAUCCUUUAAGUCAACUUAUACUAAAAACUAGUUUUAUAGUCAGAAUUGCCUCUUUUGUUUAAUUGUUUAAUUUCUGCUAAACAUCAUGAUGCUUGAAGCUAUAUGGAAUUGGAAAUCGUUUCCAAAGUGUAUUCUAUUGCAUUAGUCUGGCUAUAGACAAUACCAAAAAAAAAAAAAAAACCAUUUAAAUUAAAAGGUAGUUCUUUGACAGAGUUGCUUAUUGAUAGUUUGUUCUUAGAUUAGAGCAAGAGUUUUUAGUUGGGAUUAAUUUAUUUUUCUCCUAUAUAUGUAUUUUUCCUUAUAUUUUCAAAAUUGUUAUUGAGAAUGUGUCAAGAUCAAUGAGAAAACUUUACAGUUUAUAAGAAUGUGCACUCAAUCUUUGAAUCCCACGAGAAAUGCAUGGAAUUGAAAUUCUUAAGGUAGCUCACUGGUUUACUUCUAGCAAUAGCAUGAUGCUACUCGCAUGGAUAUUACCUCAGUUGAAACCAGGUAUAAAAUGUAAAACCAGUCUCAGCUAUCAUCAUAACUUCUUAGAGGUUAUUUUAUAGGCAAUUCAAGUUAUUGGAAACCUUUUAAAAUUUUCUUAGUCUUAUUAAUAUAAACUACUUUUCUAGGAUUUUCAAGUAAAAGAUGUACAGGUGGGCAAGUUGUAGUUUUUUAAGUCUGUAGGGUGAUGAAUCUUCUAGAAGAUUAUGUGAAUUAUUCACAGUUCCUCUAGGCCUGGGGAUAACUGUUAAUUAUACCUAUUUUUGUGUAAUUACAUCAUGUUGUGCAUUAGAAAUUGAGAGUUCAAUAGCUUUUUAACUACUGCCUUCAUUAGGCGAUGAUAAAUAUUUCCCUUAGAUAAUUGAAUAUUUUUCCAUGUUUUAAAAAUAAUUGAAAUUUUCUUGCCAUGGCUUGUGUUAUAACUCCUUACACAAGUGGCUAAACUAGAAUACAUUCAUAAAAUAGAGGCAUAUGUAGGUGAGUUGUACAAGUUAGAACAUUGACAAGACCCUAUAUUUAGCUUUAGUGAUUUUCAAAGUUAAUUGGUUUUGUAAUAUAGACUUUACUAGUAGCUUAAAAGAUUGUAGGUAGUCAUAUACAAUAAGUAUUUUUGUUACCAAUAAAUUUAAAGUUUUUUAAGUAAAAACUUUUUUAUCAUAGGGCCUGCCACCAGACAGUUGCUAAGUUGGUCUAGAACAGCGUUUACCUCACCUGUUUUCCCAUCUAAUACCACUCAUUCCUGAAAAUAUCUGUUAGAUAGAAAGUCACUCUUUCAAAAAGUUAAAUGUUACUAUUUGCUUUUGCACAAUCUGUUCCUUUUGUGGCCUCUUCUCUCAAGAUAUAAUCUUUUAUGAGAGAUUGAAGAAGGAGCCAAGAUUGCGCAGUUGGGAGAGCAUUAGACUGGAGGAGACUGAAGGGUCUUGUCAUGAAAAUUAACAUGUUGUUUUAAAUUGCUCUUAUGAACUGUAGUUUAAAGCAAUAGUAUUUUCUUUUAAAAAAAAAGAAAGAAAAUUUUAUCUCUACAACAUAUGGUAGUCUAGUCUUCGAAGACUAACAACCUAGUCUUUGAAGAAAAUAUUUGGCAAAAUGUCGGGAUUAAAGUAACGUGAAUGUUUUGGUUAAAAUGUCAAAAAAUAAUCACUGCUGUAUUUGUGCUUUAUUGAGAACUGAAAGCUGUUUUGACUGUAAAAUUCCUAUAAUCUGAUUCAGUUUAAGAAAUCACAUAUCGUUGGAGUUGGGGAUAUCAUAAAACAUUUGAUACUGGUGAGAAAUUGAUUAUGCUGUUGAUUUCUUAUGUAGGCAUUUAUUUCAGACUUAAUAUUUUGAGAAACAUUUGUGUGAGGGAUGCUCUUUCCUUUUCUUCCCUUUAGCUUUCUGUUGUAAUUAGUGAUUAUUGUAAUUCUGAUUAAGUUCUUAAUACUGAGUUGUAAAACAGUUAAUCAAAAUAUUAGUGCCACAGUUCUGUUUUGAAACUAAUUAUUCAUAGUAAAUUCUCAUUAAUACUUUAUAUAAAGAGUAAAUUCAAGUGUUAGAGGCUAUACUGACUUCUUUAAUAGGAUGUGAAAGAUUUCUGAUAGUGAAUCAUAACCCUAAGAGAGAUUUAUGUGGGAAAAGUAUAGUGUAUAAUCAGCGGGGUUUUUAUAAGGCAUACAGUCUGUAAAUUGAUAGAUGUUCCUGUGUUACAGAAUGUAGUGUUCAGCUUGCAAAGAAUAAGCCAUUCUUGGAAUAUUUGUGUACAACUGUUGCUUAUCUCAGUAUCACUGUGUUAGUGCUCUUGGAUAGCUUAUAUAUGUGAUAGUUUGAUUAAUAACAAAAAUACAAAAUUU
Odocoileus virginianus texanus is the source of this 3793-nucleotide non-coding RNA. The record is from RefSeq and is a predicted model, not a curated record. NCBI's taxonomy places the organism in Eukaryota, Metazoa, Chordata, Mammalia, Artiodactyla, Cervidae.